GCAAACGGAGAGGAUAUUAGAUUCAUCACGGAGAUCAUAGGAAAAAUAGAACAUAAAAUACAGAAGAAAAAUGCAAAGCAAAAACGGUGGCUAGUAAGUGGAUCCAACAUCGAAAAAGAAAAUAGUAAGAUAUGACAUUGCCCCUAGCUCUCUUAGACAAAAUCCUAAUGGACUAGGCUCAUAAAGGUACAAAGUAACGCAAGACUCAACUACCUCCUAGCCUACAUCGGUAAUACUCGACCUCCACAACGUCCUAUCAAGUGUCAUAUCCUCGAAAAUCUGAAGUCUCGCCAUAUCCUAUCUGAUCACCUCUGCCUAAUACUUCUUAGGCUGCCCUCUACCUCUUCUCUUGCCUUCCACAAUUAGCCGCUCAAACUUUCUUACAGGAGCAUCUGAG
RNAcentral lists this long non-coding RNA (397 nucleotides) under Nicotiana benthamiana. Its description in RNAcentral is "long non-coding RNA (NBEN_LNC002905)". The record is from RNAcentral. Lineage: Eukaryota; Viridiplantae; Streptophyta; Magnoliopsida; Solanales; Solanaceae.